GAAGAUGCCAUCGAGCAGCUUGGCAUCAACUUCGGCUUCAGGCAGUUCAAGGUCAAUCAAUACCUCAAGAGCAACAGAGACCAUGGCGAUCAUUCAGGAACCCUGGCCAUGCUCCAGGCUUGGAGGAAGAAGACCCCUCGGACGAGGCAGACACCGAACCUGGUGGAAGCCCUCAAGAAUGCCGGCAUUGAUGAGUCCUUCAAUAACAAUUAAGAUAACUGAAGUUCUGAACUCAAGGUGAUAUCACCUGUUGGAACCCUGAGAUAUCUGCCUCAACGUGAAGAAAAGUACAUUUUGAGGCUUAUGGACAUUAUUUAGGUGAAAUACUGCCAUCAUCGUCAUAUCCCGAACUUUUACUCCACAUUCAUGUUAUGUCUAGGAAAGGAAGUCGAUUCUUGUGGAGACGAUGCAGACUGUGAAUUUACAACACGACGGCGAUUAAGAGCGAAUAAUGAUGAAUGAAGGCAGAUAAACGUUUAUUUUUAUUCAGUUAUUAUUUUUAGAAAGCCCCUUGUUACUGUUUCUGCUUUUCGAAGCUGGAGGACAAAUGAGCAUUGAGACAUUGAACAAGACUAAAACAUUGGAGAGUGCAGAAUGCGGAAUGAGAAUGCAUUCUCCUAUAGAGUUUUAUUUUUGAAAACCAAGAACAAUAAUCUUCGCAGUCUAUGCACUGCUUUUACAUCACCUAGAUAUUUUUUUUGGCAAUGAUGGCCUGUACUUGGUAUAACAUGAAAAUGCAUUAUUCAGUGUGCUAGAUAUGAUAAUAGCACAUUAACAUUACGAUUUCAUUUGAUCCUCAAACCUGUAGAUGUGAGAAGGCCUGAUUAAAUAGGAUUUUUGAUAACAUUAUCUAACCAAAUCUGUGUAAAUCUGAAAGUACAACAGAUUAUUCAUGCUGCACGUUUAUAUUCGAAAAUUGAAAUCCCAUAGAGUCGAAUUCCCCUACAAUCAUAAUUUCAAAAAAGUGUACAUUUAUAUAUUCGCUCUGUAUGUUUUGUUACCCAGCCAUCUAGGAAUUUUGCAAUUUAUGACAGAAAUUAGCGUUUGUAUACUAUUUUAAAUUAGGCCUAUAUCUUUGCAGUAAAGUUAGUUUAGUAGACACUGAAACGAUAUUUGUUUCUUGUUUGUAGGUAGAUUUGAUUGCAUCAACCAUGGUAUGUUUUGUUUUGCUUCCGGAAAAACCUAGACUUCAGACUUAGCCUACUUUGUUACAUUGCUCGAGAACAUUUCGUAAAUACGAGUUCUAACCACCGUGUGACAAUUUCGUAAUGAAUUGAUGUAAAUAUUAUUUACGCAUACAUGUAUUCAGUUGGGCAGUAAAUUCUUUUCUCAUAAAAAUAUAUUUUUGUCAUUGAACUACAUUAUAUUACAGGAUGGAAGUGAGAGAUAUGUUGUAGUAAAAUUAAUUAGACACUUAAACUGAAUUUUGUUCCUUAGUUGUAGUUAGAUUUGAUUGCAUCAACCAUGUUUUGCUUCCGGAAAACCUAGACUUCAGAUUUAGCCAAGCAUUGUUAUAUUGCUCGAGAAUAUUUCGUAAAUACGAGUUCUAACCACCGUGUGACAAUUUCGUAAUGAAUUGAUGUAAAUAUAAUUUACGCAUACAUGUAUUCAGUUGGGCAGUAAAUUCUUUUCUCAUAAAAA
Molecule: long non-coding RNA, 1641 nt
Organism: Strongylocentrotus purpuratus (purple sea urchin)
Lineage: Eukaryota; Metazoa; Echinodermata; Echinoidea; Camarodonta; Strongylocentrotidae
Exons: 2
Source: RefSeq, a predicted model, not a curated record